GCUUGUCUCAAAGAUUAAGCCAUGCAUGUCUUAGUGUAAAUAACUCUUAUGAAACUGCGAAUGGCUCAUUAAAUCAGUUAUCAAAUACGUGAUGGUCGCCUACUACAUGGAUAACCGUGGUAAUUCUAGAGCUAAUACAUGCGAUAAAACCUGACUUUUUGGAAAGGUUGUAUUUAUUAGAUACCAAACCAAUAUUCAUUCGUGUCUAUUGUGAUGAUUCAUAAUAACUGAUCGAAGCUGGGCGUGCUCAGCUAAAUCAUUCAAGUUUCUGCCCUAUCAGCUUUCGAUGGUAGUGUAUUGGACUACCAUGGCAGUCACGGGUAACGGGGAAUUAGGGUUCGAUUCCGGAGAGGGAGCCUGAGAAACGGCUACCACUUCUAAGGAAGGCAGCAGG
RNAcentral lists this ribosomal RNA (394 nucleotides) under Askenasia sp. Its description in RNAcentral is "partial small subunit ribosomal RNA". It matches the Rfam family "Eukaryotic small subunit ribosomal RNA", at positions 30 to 432 of the family's 1831-position model. Lineage: Eukaryota; Ciliophora; Litostomatea; Cyclotrichida; Mesodiniidae. The record is from RNAcentral.